Molecule: unclassified non-coding RNA, 732 nt
Filed under: uncultured Prochlorococcus sp.
Lineage: Bacteria; Bacillati; Cyanobacteriota; Cyanophyceae; Synechococcales; Prochlorococcaceae
Description: partial 16S-23S ribosomal RNA intergenic spacer; may also contain 16S ribosomal RNA and 23S ribosomal RNA
Rfam family: tRNA (bases 342-414)
Source: RNAcentral
UUGUGGAGAAGGACGCCGAAGGUGGGGCUGAUGACUGGGGUGAAGUCGUAACAAGGUAGCCGUACCGGAAGGUGCGGCUGGAUCACCUCCUAACAGGGAGACAAUAAAUAGAUUGUGAUGUCUAAGCUAAUUAUUCUUAGGCCGCAAUCCUGUCACCUUAAGGUCGAUCGGUACCUCAGAUUUCGAAUUGAUUUAUAAUUAAUUCUUUGAUUUCAGUUCCUAAACUUGUCUAGGUCACACCCAACAAAGGUUUCUCCUGGGCCAUUAGCUCAGGUGGUUAGAGCGCACCCCUGAUAAGGGUGAGGUCCCUGGUUCAAGUCCAGGAUGGCCCAUUCGUUGUUGGGGGUAUAGCUCAGUUGGUAGAGCGCCUGCUUUGCAAGCAGGAUGUCAGCGGUUCGAGUCCGCUUACCUCCACUGAAAACUAUCCUGCUAACAAAUUCCGGAGAAAAUUGUAGACGUGGCUUAGAAUUGUCUAUUUGAAAAGAACCUAGCUUCUUAUCAUCUUUUUAUAGUUGAUAACAUGCUGGGCCCGUAUGGAUUAAUUCCAUUCGAAUUCAGUAGAACCUUGAAAACUGCAUAGAUUAGAAAGAAUAAAGCAUCUCAUGGAUGCAUAAUUCCAUUUUUUUAAUUUAGCAAAAAAGCUAAAUUAUAUAAAUAUAGAAUUCAUGUUAAAUUCUUGAGUAAUAGCCGAGCACAAUUGAUUUUGUGAUUGUAUUUAAGGUCAAGCUACAA